This 253-nucleotide ribosomal RNA is filed under the name uncultured bacterium. RNAcentral's name for it is "partial 16S ribosomal RNA". It matches the Rfam family "Bacterial small subunit ribosomal RNA", at positions 524 to 776 of the family's 1533-position model. The record is from RNAcentral.
UACGGAGGGAGCUAGCGUUGUUCGGAAUUACUGGGCGUAAAGCGCGCGUAGGCGGCUUUGUAAGUUAGAGGUGAAAGCCCGGGGCUCAACCCCGGAAUUGCCUUUAAGACUGCAUCGCUUGAAUCCGGGAGAGGUGAGUGGAAUUCCGAGUGUAGAGGUGAAAUUCGUAGAUAUUCGGAAGAACACCAGUGGCGAAAGCGGCUCUCUGGUCUGUAACUGACGCUGAGGCGCGAAAGCGUGGGGAGCAAACAGG